This is a non-coding RNA of Acanthosepion pharaonis, 110 nucleotides long. The record is from the annotation of a GenBank genome assembly. Lineage: Eukaryota; Metazoa; Mollusca; Cephalopoda; Sepiida; Sepiidae.
AUGGGCAUAGCAUAAUAAAACACUGGUUCUCAUACAAGCAUCCAAGUUAAGCAAUGUCGAGCCUGGUCACUACUUAGAUGGGUGACUGCUUGGGAAUAUCAAGUGCUGUA